Molecule: non-coding RNA, 452 nt
Organism: Pocillopora verrucosa
Lineage: Eukaryota; Metazoa; Cnidaria; Anthozoa; Scleractinia; Pocilloporidae
Source: RefSeq, a predicted model, not a curated record
UUCUUCUUCAGAUUAAGUUCACUGUACAAGGACGUGAAGUUGUAAUUCCACUUGGACACGAUGCUGGUGACGAGAGAGAAAACUCCACUUGUCGGACGACGCAGCAUGUACUUGUUGCGAAAGAUGAAGGCUUGAUUUCAGACGAGGCAUACCAUGAGUUGAGGAUGGCCUUACCAGACGAGGAAAGAGAGAUUCUUCCGCCAAUCAGUGUUCUGAAACAGGAGAGGAACAGGCAAAAUGGGAUCAAUGCCUUGCAUUCAAUACCAGAGGAAAAGACCUCCGAGCAAUCCUACACAAACUGGAUCAUAAACCAAUCUUUGAGGGGACAAGUCAUCAAAGAAGGACAUACAGAGAAGUGAAGAAAUUAUGGAAGGGUUUCAGUGAUCUGGUGGAAGCAGUGGACCCAGAACCAGGCCAAGAAAGCUACAAAACACCAGAACAGUUCAAGGACC